GAUGAACGCUGGCGGCGUGCCUAAUACAUGCAAGUCGAGCGAACAGAUAAGGAGCUUGCUCCUUUGACGUUAGCGGCGGACGGGUGAGUAACACGUGGGUAACCUACCUAUAAGACUGGAAUAACUCCGGGAAACCGGGGCUAAUGCCGGAUAACAUUUAGAGCCGCAUGGUUCUAAAGUGAAAGAUGGUUUUGCUAUCACUUAUAGAUGGACCCGCGCCGUAUUAGCUAGUUGGUAAGGUAACGGCUUACCAAGGCAACGAUACGUAGCCGACCUGAGAGGGUGAUCGGCCACACUGGAACUGAGACACGGUCCAGACUCCUACGGGAGGCAGCAGUAGGGAAUCUUCCGCAAUGGGCGAAAGCCUGACGGAGCAACGCCGCGUGAGUGAUGAAGGUCUUCGGAUCGUAAAACUCUGUUAUUAGGGAAGAACAAAUGUGUAAGUAACUGUGCACGUCUUGACGGUACCUAAUCAGAAAGCCACGGCUAACUACGU
Molecule: ribosomal RNA, 496 nt
Filed under: uncultured bacterium
Lineage: Bacteria
Description: partial 16S ribosomal RNA
Rfam family: Bacterial small subunit ribosomal RNA
Source: RNAcentral